RNAcentral lists this ribosomal RNA (405 nucleotides) under uncultured bacterium. Its description in RNAcentral is "partial 16S ribosomal RNA". It matches the Rfam family "Bacterial small subunit ribosomal RNA", at positions 30 to 526 of the family's 1533-position model. The record is from RNAcentral.
AUUGAACGCUAGCGGGAUGCUUUACACAUGCAAGUCGAACGAGUGGCGGACGGGUGAGUAAUAUAUCGGAACGUGCCCCGUAGCGGGGGAUAACUACUCGAAAGAGUCGCUAAUACCGCAUACUAUAGGUGCGGCCUAUAUCGGAUUAGCGAGUGGGGGGGGUAAAGGCUCACCAAGGCAACGAUACGUAGCUGGUUUGAGAGGACGACCAGCCACACUGGGACUGAGAAACGGCCCAGACUCCUACGGGAGGAAGCAGUGGGGAAUUUUGGACAAUGGGGGAAAUCCUGAUGCAGCCAUCCCGCGUGUAUGAGAAGGCCUUCGGGUUGUAAAGUACUUUUGGCAGAGAAGCGGUAUCUGCAGAAUAAGCACCGGCUAACUACGUGCCAGCCGCCGCGGUAAUUC